CCUACGGGAGGCAGCAGUGGGGAAUAUUGGACAAUGGGGGGAACCCUGAUCCAGCGACGCCGCGUGAGUGAAGAAGUAUUUCGGUAUGUAAAGCUCUAUCAGCAGGGAAGAAAGAAAUGACGGUACCUGACUAAGAAGCCCCGGCUAACUACGUGCCAGCAGCCGCGGUAAUACGUAUGGAGCAAGCGUUAUCCGGAUUUACUGGGUGUAAAGGGAGCGCAGGCGGCCUUGCAAGUCUGAUGUGAAAUACCGGGGCUCAACCCCGGAGCUGCAUUGGAAACUGUGAGGCUGGAGUGUCGGAGAGGCAGGCGGAAUUCCUAGUGUAGCGGUGAAAUGCGUAGAUAUUAGGAGGAACACCAGUGGCGAAGGCGGCUUACUGGACUGUAACUGACGUUGAGGCUCGAAAGCGUGGGGAGCAAACAGGAGUAGAUACCCGGGUAGUC
Molecule: ribosomal RNA, 443 nt
Filed under: uncultured bacterium
Lineage: Bacteria
Description: partial 16S ribosomal RNA
Rfam family: Bacterial small subunit ribosomal RNA
Source: RNAcentral